UACAGAGGUCUCAAGCGUUGUUCGGAUUCAUUGGGCGUAAAGGGCGCGUAGGCUGCGGGGCAAGUCGGGUGUGAAAUCUCAGAGCUCAACUCUGAAACUGCACUCGAUACUGCUUUGCUCGAGGACUGGAGAGGAGAUUGGAAUUCACGGUGUAGCAGUGAAAUGCGUAGAUAUCGUAAGGAAGACCAGUGGCGAAGGCGGGUCUCUGGACAGUUCCUGACGCUGAGGCACGAAGGCCAGGGGAGCAAACGGG
RNAcentral lists this ribosomal RNA (253 nucleotides) under uncultured bacterium. RNAcentral's name for it is "partial 16S ribosomal RNA". It matches the Rfam family "Bacterial small subunit ribosomal RNA", at positions 524 to 776 of the family's 1533-position model. The record is from RNAcentral.